GACGAACGCUGGCGGCGUGCUUAACACAUGCAAGUCGAACGGAAAGGCCCUGCUUGCAGGGUGCUCGAGUGGCGAACGGGUGAGUAACACGUGGGUGAUCUGCUCCUUACUUUGGGUUACGCCUGGGAAACUGGGUCUAUUACUGGAUAGUCCCAUGCUGUAGGUGGUGUGGUGGUCAGAUUUGUUUCGGUCAGGGAUGAGCGCGCGGCCUGUCAUCUUGUUUGUGGGGUAAUGGCCUCACAAGGCGUCGCCGGGUAGCCGGCCUGAGAGGGUGGACGGCCACAUUGGGACUGAGAGACGAGGCAGACGCGGACGGGAGGCAGCAGUGGGGAAUAUUGCAAAAUGGGCGCAAGGCGGAUGCAGAGACGCCGCGUGGGGGAUGACGGCCUUCGGGUUGGGAGGUACGGCCAGCAAUGACGAAGCCGUUGUGGUGACGGUAGUGGUAGAAGAAGCACCGGCUAACUACGUG
This 469-nucleotide ribosomal RNA is filed under the name uncultured bacterium. RNAcentral's name for it is "partial 16S ribosomal RNA". It matches the Rfam family "Bacterial small subunit ribosomal RNA", at positions 28 to 507 of the family's 1533-position model. The record is from RNAcentral.